UAGGGAAUCUUCCGCAAUGGACGCAAGUCUGACGGAGCAACGCCGCGUGAGUGAAGAAGGAUUUCGGUUCGUAAAACUCUGUUGUUAGAGAAGAACAGCGCUUAGAGUAACUGUUAUGCGUGUGACGGUAUCUAACCAGAAAGCCACGGCUAACUACGUGCCAGCAGCCGCGGUAAUACGUAGGUGGCAAGCGUUGUCCGGAUUUAUUGGGCGUAAAGCGAGCGCAGGCGGUCAAUUAAGUCUGAUGUGAAAGCCCCCGGCUCAACCGGGGAGGGUCAUUGGAAACUGGUUGACUUGAGUGCAGAAGAGGAGAGUGGAAUUCCAUGUGUAGCGGUGAAAUGCGUAGAUGUAUGGAGGAACACCAGUGGCGAAGGAGACUCUCUGGUCUGUAACUGACGCUGGGGCUCGAAAGCGUGGGUAGCAAACAGG
This 429-nucleotide ribosomal RNA is filed under the name Bacteroidota bacterium. RNAcentral's name for it is "Bacteroidetes bacterium partial 16S ribosomal RNA". It matches the Rfam family "Bacterial small subunit ribosomal RNA", at positions 355 to 776 of the family's 1533-position model. The record is from RNAcentral. Lineage: Bacteria; Pseudomonadati; Bacteroidota.